RNAcentral lists this ribosomal RNA (442 nucleotides) under uncultured bacterium. RNAcentral's name for it is "partial 16S ribosomal RNA". It matches the Rfam family "Bacterial small subunit ribosomal RNA", at positions 338 to 795 of the family's 1533-position model. The record is from RNAcentral.
CCUACGGGAGGCAGCAGUAGGGAAUCUUUCACAAUGGGCGAAAGCCUGAUGGAGCAACGCCGCGUGCAGGAUGAAGGCCUUCGGGUUGUAAACUGCUUUUAUAAGCGAGAAAUAUGAUGGUAACUUAUGAAUAAGGCUCGGCUAACUACGUGCCAGCGGCCGCGGUCAUACGUAGGAUCCGAGCAUUAUCCGGAGUGACUGGGUGUAAAGAGUUGCGUAGGUGGCAUAAUAAGUAGCUAGUGAAAUCUGGUGGCUCAACCAUUCAGACUAUUAGCUAAACUGUUAAGCUCGAGACCGUUAGGGGUAACUGGAAUUUCUAGUGUAGGAGUGAAAUCCGUAGAUAUUAGAAGGAACACCAAUAGCGUAGGCAGGUUGCUGGGACGGUUCUGACACUAAGGCACGAAAGCGUAGGGAGCAAACGGGAUUAGAUACCCCUGUAGUC